GCCUGGGUGGCUUAGUCGGUAAGCGUCUGACUUCAGCUCAGGUCAUGAUCUCACGGUUCGUGAGUUCGAGCCCCGCAUCGGGCU
Molecule: transfer RNA, 84 nt
Filed under: Felis catus (domestic cat)
Lineage: Eukaryota; Metazoa; Chordata; Mammalia; Carnivora; Felidae
Rfam family: tRNA
About the family: Transfer RNA (tRNA) molecules are approximately 80 nucleotides in length. Their secondary structure includes four short double-helical elements and three loops (D, anti-codon, and T loops). Further hydrogen bonds mediate the characteristic L-shaped molecular structure. tRNAs have two regions of fundamental functional importance: the anti-codon, which is responsible for specific mRNA codon recognition, and the 3' end, to which the tRNAs corresponding amino acid is attached (by aminoacyl-tRNA synthetases). tRNAs cope with the degeneracy of the genetic code in two manners: having more than one tRNA (with a specific anti-codon) for a particular amino acid; and 'wobble' base-pairing, i.e. permitting non-standard base-pairing at the 3rd anti-codon position.
Source: Rfam by way of RNAcentral